This is a long non-coding RNA of Rhagoletis zephyria (snowberry fruit fly), 117 nucleotides long. RefSeq lists it as uncharacterized. NCBI's taxonomy places the organism in Eukaryota, Metazoa, Arthropoda, Insecta, Diptera, Tephritidae. The record is from RefSeq and is a predicted model, not a curated record.
ACUACUACUGUCAAAUUAUGGCAUUUGUGUUGUGGCAGCACUGCCAAUAUCCGGCCACCAUCUUUUUGCUUUUGGUUUCUCACGAUGCCACCAAAGAAGGACGCGAAAUCGUCGGCU